RNAcentral lists this long non-coding RNA (390 nucleotides) under Mytilus galloprovincialis (Mediterranean mussel). The record is from RNAcentral. Lineage: Eukaryota; Metazoa; Mollusca; Bivalvia; Mytilida; Mytilidae.
CAAUAUAGGCGGUGGUCCAUGAAGUUUUCUUAUUGUUGAAACCCGUAUGCCAACCUAAGUUCGUAAACUUUUACGUCAUUUGGUCUCGGCUGAGAGCAGUCUCAUUGUCAUACCACUUUUAAUUUUAAUGAAUGGAAUGAGGUCUGAGGUAUACACCAGUGUCACAGCAGCCAGAAAUGCAACACUGAAUACAACGAACUGUACACCAAUCUCGAUUUAAUUUUGUUUGCCGUUGAAAGAAAUAUAAAACAUUUCAUAUACCCGUAAGUUCUGAGUCUCAUUCAGAAAUAUUGGACGUCACUGGCCGCAAGUGGUUGUUCAGCAAACGCUAUCUGCACAAUAAGGAAGCCAGUCGUACUCAAAGAACGGUAAUCGAAAUUUGUGUAAAGG